Molecule: non-coding RNA, 73 nt
Organism: Teladorsagia circumcincta
Lineage: Eukaryota; Metazoa; Nematoda; Chromadorea; Rhabditida; Trichostrongylidae
Source: the annotation of a GenBank genome assembly
UGCGAAAGUAGUACAGUGGUUAGUACUCCACGUUGUGGCCGUGGCGGCACAGGUUCGAUUCCUGUCUUGGGCA